This 488-nucleotide ribosomal RNA is filed under the name uncultured bacterium. Its description in RNAcentral is "bacterial SSU rRNA". It matches the Rfam family "Bacterial small subunit ribosomal RNA", at positions 21 to 507 of the family's 1533-position model. The record is from RNAcentral.
GGCUCAGGAUGAACGCUGGCGGCGUGCUUAACACAUGCAAGUCGAACGAAGCACUUUAUUUGAUUUUCUUCGGAAAUGAAGAUUUUGUGACUGAGUGGCGGACGGGUGAGUAACGCGUGGAUAACCUGCCUCAUACAGGGGGAUAACAGCCGGAAACGGCUGCUAAUACCGCAUAAGCGCACGGUACCGCAUGGUACAGUGUGAAAAACUCCGGUGGUAUGGGAUGGAUCCGCGUCUGAUUAGCCAGUUGGCGGGGUAACGGCCCACCAAAGCGACGAUCAGUAGCCGACCUGAGAGGGUGACCGGCCACAUUGGGACUGAGACACGGCCCAAACUCCUACGGGAGGCAGCAGUGGGGAAUAUUGCACAAUGGAGGAAACUCUGAUGCAGCGACGCCGCGUGAGCGAUGAAGUAUUUCGGUAUGUAAAGCUCUAUCAGCAAGGAAGAUAAUGACGGUACCUGAGUAAGAAGCUCCGGCUAAAUACGUG